CCUCCUUGGAGGUCAGAAGCCUGAGCUAGGAAAUGCCAAGUCAUGAUGACUGGGCCUUAGAAGCCCCUCUCUUCUGCCUUUCAGACCCUGAUUAUCUCUCUCAGAAGAGCUGUCACUGAGAACCUUUGUGGGGGACACCAAUAAAGAAUUCCUGUGGAAUCUUAUACAGCGCUUCUCCUCUCUCUCCUUGUGUCUGCUGCUGUGGCACCAGCAAGCUGGUGCCAAGCUGGAUGAGGACAUUACUGCUCUGAAAAGUACAACAAAUAGCCUGCAGGGAAUGCCACAAGCUGCUUUUUUCUAUGGCGAGGUAUAGGAUGGUAGCAGCCCAUGGGUAAGUCUGAACUCGAUCUUAUAAUGACCGUGAUAUGUGUGUCAAGUUCCAUUUACAUUUGGAGCAGCAGGGACCUAUGAAGAAAGUUUGAGAGAUUAACUGGAAAUAUGCAAUUUCUAUCUGGAAAUGGGACAGUCAGGAAAAUGUAGUGAGUAUAUUUUGUUGUUCAGCAUUGGAAUGUGAAAAGCUAAAGUCACUAUUUUAUUUAGUAAAUGAGCUUAAUUAAUCCAGUAACUUUGGGGAGUCUGAGGGUUUCAUGCUUAUUUUUUCAAAAUAUUGUGGAAAGCAUUUUCCAUUUUAAUUUAUGUUAAUGGAAGAACCUUAGUUUUUAAUGCUUAGGAAUACUGUCUAUAGUGUCUUCCUGACUUCAAGUGCUACACAGACUGAGAAAUAAUAGCUAUUUCAAUGUUGU
Passer domesticus (house sparrow) is the source of this 743-nucleotide long non-coding RNA. RefSeq lists it as uncharacterized. NCBI's taxonomy places the organism in Eukaryota, Metazoa, Chordata, Aves, Passeriformes, Passeridae. The transcript has 3 exons. The record is from RefSeq and is a predicted model, not a curated record.